UUUUAAUUCCAGUGUGUUUUUCAUUUAAUUUAAUUUCAUUAUUUAUUUGCUGUUACAUGUUAUUGCUUUAUUAUGCUCUUCUUUAUUUUCUUAUAAUCUGUUCACUUUUCUUUUUAUAUAAAGUUCUUUGGUACCAUGAUGGGGUUGGAAAACACUGCAGAAAUAAAGUUUCAUUAAUUCAUUCUAUAUCUUUUCUGAUUUUUAAUCAAAGGAAGAUAAGUUUGUCAUUCAUUAAAAAAACAACAACCACAAACAUAUAAGUUAGAUCCCUUUAGUUCUCAACAUCACCAUCAGUUAAAUAAAUUUACCAUUUUGUAGCCAAAUAAAACAAUCUAAAAAAAUGUGAAAUAUUAUCUUCCCAUAAAAUAUAUAAGUUAAUAUGUCUUUAAAGAUGUCUGAGACUCAAAAGUCACACAUCUAAAACACACAAAGGAUAAAAUACUAGGAUUUAUCCAGCAUUAAGCAUGUGUUUGAAUGGCUUUUUUACUAAUAGUUUCCCUCAUUUUACAGGUUUAUAGUGUUUUUGGGAGUUCCAUUAUACUCCCUACAUUUCCUAUUUUUGUAACAUAUUUCACACUCGGGGGUUGGAGGGAGAGUCAAUACAGACGACGGUAAAAGCAAACAUCAUAGUGGGCCGUGGAAUGUAAAAAUGUGAGCUAAAAAAAAGAACCAUAAUGAGAAGGUUUCAUGGUUGUUCCCUGGCAGCCGAAUUUACUGACCCAUUUGAUUUUAUGACUCCUUUUUUUCAUUAUUCUGUAACCACUGGGGUCUUGUUCUCCCUUUAAUGUGCAGCAGUUUCGUCUAACAACUUUUGGGGGAAAUAAAUUGAGUAAACAUUUCAAAGAACCUUAGUUCAGAGAGCAGCCGCAGUGCUGUGAGGCCUGACUCCGAAACGGAGAUGGAUAUUUAUUUAAGCGAAAACUCAACUAAAAUGAAAUAGAGAAGAGGUGAAACGAGGUCAUAUGUUCCAGGAAAAUCACUUAAAAAUCAAGAAGAAAAUCAAAGGAGCUGCUUUAUUUGAUUUUCUUUGCUUAAAAAUAAAAAUGUUGUAGAUUUAAGAUUCAAGAUGCAAGAUUCAAAGCUUUAAUUGGGGGAAGUGAUGUCCACAAUGAAUUCAAGAAAAAAAGGGUAUUAUUUUUUCUUUGUGCUUUACAAACCAAAAUUUAUUUUAAAUGUGUAUAUUUUUUAAAUAUUCUGAUUUGGUUGACAGAAUCUUAAAAGACAUUUCUCCUUUGUUUCACUGUAAACUUUUUAUCUCAAUAAACUGAAAGGAUUUACUAUCUCUCUUUAGCCAGCAGAGGGCAGCAUUGCACCUAACUCCAAAUUACAGAUUAGCAUGAGAACAAGAUUUCUCCUCCUUUGUUUUGUUCUUUACUCUUCUGCUUUGUGCAACAAUUAAGAACACACCAGUUAAUUAGCAUCACAAGUGAAAGAAGGUUCUUGUCCUGUUAAAGAGGAUUAGUCUUUGGAUUUUGGAGUCCUGGUUGUACAUUGUUUUCCCUGUAAUGUGAAGACCUUUAAUCCAGAUUCUAGAGGUUUAGUCUGAGGAUCUCGGCAGGGAGAGGAUUUUGAUUUUGGAGGGGAGUGGAUUAAGAAUAUAUCAUGCUAAUCACCAAAGAACAACUUGCGCACAACCUCCACUCCCCUGACAGAAAAGAGUUCAGUCAAAUUUGACAUCCUCUAAGUGUGGAAGCACAGGCGCUACUUUGAAAACGCUAGAAGAGCUAGAAGACUCAACAAAGACGGAGAGCGAGAAUGAGAAGACAUGAAGGAGGUAGAGGAGGAGGCCCGGGUAGACUAAAGAUGAAGGCCUAUCUAGAGGAAAUGAAAAGGGCUUGAUAGAACUCAAGAAAAGAAGACCAAAUUUGGCUCAAGAAAUCUAUCCAAGACGUAUUGACCUUGUAAUCAAUCAUAAACUGACACUGAUGGAAGCUGGACAAAUAGUUCAACCGUAUCUCAGUGUGAACACUUUUGCAUCAGUCAUUUUUUAUUGAGAAAACAGAUAAACUGACCCCUGAAAAUAAAUCUUGCUGCAUCUAGUAUCAUACUAUGAAAUUUGACAGCAUAUGUAUUUCUUAUACUGCCUUAUCAAUGAAGUUUGUAAUGUGAAUGGAGCCUGAUAGUCUGAUCCAGCCAGAUGGAUAUUUGUUGUUUUUACAAUUUUUUUUUCAAAGUGUAACGUCUCCAUGGAUUCAUUUUUUUUAUUUGUCUACAUAUGUUAGUGUUUCAUUGACUUAACUGUUGACUUACUGUAACUGAUUUUCUCAAGAAAUAUCUCAAGUAUUGACAUGAAAGCAUGAACUGUUCAGUUUGCAGCAUCAGUGUUGUGCAGUGAUUGGUUGAUCUGGCGGUUUGGGGCUUUCCUCCAUCCACAAAACUGCUCAGGAAAAUCACUCCUCAGUGAAAGGGAUCCAUUGAGCCGAGCUGAAGCGCUAGAGUACCUCCCCAAAAAAACACUUUGUUUGUUUAUAAGCUGACAAUCACUGUCGGACUACCUGAAACACUAACAUUAUGAACAUUUCAGCUGAACUUCAAUCAAGACACGAGUGGAAAACAUGGUGACUGCAGGAUUUCUACAGGAUCUUUGUUUUAAACGUAAAGAUUUAUACAUCAAUAAUGAGAGAAAAGAAAUAGAAUUUUAGUAAAAUGGUUCAAUUGGAUUUAACGUCAUACAAGGGUUCACAGAAUGGUUGUCCUUCACACAUUUUCACCUCAAAAAAUCUGACCCCCUUUGGAAGACGUUUGGACACCCCCGCUCCAGAGGACCCACCUUGGCUUCAGGAGAUUAGCAUUUUCUUUAAAGUGGUGUUUCAAACAGCAAAUGACCUGUAACAUCUGUCAGCAAAAGCACUCAACAGGAGGCAAUUAGAGGAGUGACCUGCACCUUUGUUUAUUUUCUCCCUUUAUAGGAUGACUGAGUGACUUACACGGGGUGUUGUUUUUACAGGUUUUGUAGUACACAGAGCAGAAAGAAAAUGUCCUUUGAAAUAACAUUCUGCUUUAGCCCUAAUGUAAGCAGUUGGACUCGCUACAGCCAUAACUUCAGAAAAAGAAAAAAAAAAAGCCCGGUCAGCCUUUCCCCUCUACAAUCAGGCAGUGAAAGGCACCACUGUUCAGUUUUGCAUUUACAAGUAAGAGAGUGUGAAGGAUUUCAUUUGUUUAAAAGACAAAAAAUGGCUGUCACUAUUCAACAAAGUGUCAGAAAUAAAUGACUCCACAGUCAUCUGUGUAAAAAAAUUAAAAUAAAUGAAAAAUAUAAAGUG
This is a long non-coding RNA of Oryzias melastigma (Indian medaka), 3263 nucleotides long. RefSeq lists it as uncharacterized. The transcript has 2 exons. NCBI's taxonomy places the organism in Eukaryota, Metazoa, Chordata, Actinopteri, Beloniformes, Adrianichthyidae. The record is from RefSeq and is a predicted model, not a curated record.